AUUGAACGCUGGCGGCAUGCCUUACACAUGCAAGUCGAACGGUAACAGGUCUUCGGAUGCUGACGAGUGGCGAACGGGUGAGUAAUACAUCGGAACGUGCCCGAUCGUGGGGGAUAACGGAGCGAAAGCUUUGCUAAUACCGCAUACGAUCUACGGAUGAAAGCAGGGGACCGCAAGGCCUUGCGCGGACGGAGCGGCCGAUGGCAGAUUAGGUAGUUGGUGGGAUAAAAGCUUACCAAGCCGACGAUCUGUAGCUGGUCUGAGAGGACGACCAGCCACACUGGGACUGAGACACGGCCCAGACUCCUACGGGAGGCAGCAGUGGGGAAUUUGGACAAUGGGCGCAAGCCUGAUCCAGCCAUGCCGCGUGCAGGAUGAAGGCCUUCGGGUUGUAAACUGCUUUGUACGGAACGAAAGACUCUUUCUAAUAAAGAGGGUCCAUGACGGUACCGUAAGAAUAAGCACCGGCUAACUACGUGCCAGCAGCCGCGGUAAAACCCG
Molecule: ribosomal RNA, 501 nt
Filed under: uncultured bacterium
Lineage: Bacteria
Description: bacterial SSU rRNA
Rfam family: Bacterial small subunit ribosomal RNA
Source: RNAcentral